Brassica oleracea var. oleracea is the source of this 1750-nucleotide long non-coding RNA. RefSeq lists it as uncharacterized. The record is from RefSeq and is a predicted model, not a curated record. The transcript is spliced from 2 exons. NCBI's taxonomy places the organism in Eukaryota, Viridiplantae, Streptophyta, Magnoliopsida, Brassicales, Brassicaceae.
GCCUUAGAUACCGUCGUUUAGGGCGGAGAUUGAAGAUUAUUCACUUAGCGGAGAUUGAGGAUUAUUCACUUACCAAACUUAACUUCUACUGGUCAAAUAAUUUUAUCAUUAAAGUUCCCUUUGUUUUAUUGUUUUAGGAAAACAGUGAAGAUCUUAUUCGAAUCCUCCAUCUCCGCUAUCUUGCUUUUGCUCUAGGUCAUACUUUCAUAGCGUGUUUGCUUAUCGGAGAACCUGCAGAGAGAAGCUUGGUAAGAACUGAAAUCAGAUUUCAUCAGGACUUCUACAGUUUUCUUCAGUCCAUGAGCAAUUAUGGAACGCGAGUUUCUCGGGAGUGAAGGAUGAUCCAGACAAGAGCGAAUUGAUCUGAUAGCCAUGUGGUUUUCUUUCUUAAAAUCCAAGGAUCGGUUCCCUUUGGGCGAACUCAGGUUUAACUUUUUGUUUAAUCGCGUCGAUCUCGCAACAUGUUCUAUAUACGAUGUAUCUAUGUUUUGCAUAACUCCACUUCUGACAUUAUAUACGGUGUCCUUGAAUGUGAAUCAAUCAAUUCUUUUCGGAAGUAAAAUUGAAAGGUUGCAGUUAUUUUGUUUGGGUUUGGGUUUCUGGAAAGUUGAUUCUUUAAUGGAUUUCUGCCAUAGAAAACUAUUUAGCUUCAUCUUACCAAGUUAUAGUUAGGGGUUAACUUUAUAGAAAUUGUGCAGGUCAAGUGUCCUAUCUUUUCCAUUGGAGAAUGAGUAUGUCUUUGUUGAUUUUAGCACCUGAUAAAGCCUAAGUGGUUUCUUUGUAGGCAGACCUGAGAAAAAGUCAGGUAGUGAACGAGGCCUGUUAGGUUAGUGGCAAGUGUCUUUACAUCUCAAUAAACUUUGUCUUGGCAUUAUUGUUUGCUUUUUUGUUAAGCUUUGAUCUUUGAGCAAUCAUAUAAUCUGCUGAAAUUUUCUGAUAUGCAUCUUGACUUGGUUUACUAAACGCCUGCAGCACCUAAGACGACCUUAUGUUCUCUAGAGUGCCAGAAAAUAUAAGGGAAAAAUUUACCUCUUAUAUGUAACAAGGUAGUUAUUAAGCCCCACAAAAUUGUGAGGAAGCUUGCAAGAGUGCAACACCUAUAUUUACAGCUGGCGGGGAAGUUUAGGAGGGGAGAUGACAAGGUGAGAUAAUAAUAUUCAAUAAUUUACAUCACACAAUCAUCUAGAUUGCUUGAAGUUAAGUGAUGUGAGUGUUUUUGUCCAGACUCUUUUUUCUUCUAAUUUGGUUCUUUGUCUUAUGGUCUACUUACAAUUUGACUCGCACACUGCUUUACAAUUUGUGAGCUUCCAGACUAAUCAUGAAGCUAGACUCAGUUUAUUUUCUUAACAUUAAUUGGAAAAAAUUGACAUUGUUGUCAUUGCAGUCUAAAAUCAUUAUGCGCAUGCCCACCUCUAAUCAAAUGUAAAUGAAUUGUGAAGUUCUCUUUGACAAGUGCUAGGAAAUGCCAGAGGUGCAGUAGCAGUGGUGGUUAAUAUUCAAGAAUCAUGUCUCGGUGACUGGAAUGUUAGAUUACUUUCUCACCGUCUGCGGAGUUAUCCGCUACAGAGAAGCCAAGAAACAAAGCACGUCAAUGAUAAAUAAAAAUUUACAUUGUUUUAUUUGUUAGCUCCUCAGGUAAACGCAAAGCAAUUUUUUUUGCUGUGAACAAAAACCCUUACACAGAAAAAGAUUGUAAAGCAACACCGAAGGAUUAGAGAACCAAACGCGAUCAGUUACAUUACUUCUCAAA